RNAcentral lists this ribosomal RNA (407 nucleotides) under uncultured bacterium. RNAcentral describes it as "partial 16S ribosomal RNA". It matches the Rfam family "Bacterial small subunit ribosomal RNA", at positions 28 to 526 of the family's 1533-position model. The record is from RNAcentral.
GACGAACGCUGGCGGCGUGCCUAAUACAUGCAAGUAGAACGCAGUUGCGAACGGGUGAGUAACGCGUAGGUAACUGCCUGGUAGCGGGGGAUAACUAUUGGCAACGAUAGCUAAUACCGCAUACUACCAGAUGGACCAGCGUUGUAUUAGAUAGUUGGUGGGGUCCCUGCUCACCAAGGCAACGAUACAUAGCCGACCUGAGAGGUGGAUCUGCCACACUGGGACUGAGAAACGGCCCAGAUGCCUACGGGAUGCAGCCGUAGGUAAUCUUCGGCAAUGGACGGAAGUCUGACCGAGCAACGCCGCGUGAGUGAAGAUGGUUUUCGGAUCGUAAAGCUCUGUUGUAAGAGAAGCGGUAUCUUACCAGAAAGGGACGGCUAACUACGUGCCAGCAGCCGCGGUAAUAC